AUUGAACGCUGGCGGCAUGCCUUACACAUGCAAGUCGAACGGCAGCACGGGAGCAAUCCUGGUGGCGAGUGGCGAACGGGUGAGUAAUAUAUCGGAACGUGCCCGGUCGUGGGGAUAACGUAGCGAAAGCUACGCUAAUACCGCAUACGAUCUACGGAUGAAAGCGGGGGAUCGCAAGACCUCGCGCGAUUGGAGCGGCCGAUAUCAGAUUAGGUAGUUGGUGAGGUAAAGGCUCACCAAGCCGACGAUCUGUAGCUGGUCUGAGAGGACGACCAGCCACACUGGGACUGAGACACGGCCCAGACUCCUACGGGAGGCAGCAGUGGGGAAUUUUGGACAAUGGGCGCAAGCCUGAUCCAGCAAUGCCGCGUGCAGGAUGAAGGCCUCGGUUGG
Molecule: ribosomal RNA, 393 nt
Filed under: uncultured bacterium
Lineage: Bacteria
Description: bacterial SSU rRNA
Rfam family: Bacterial small subunit ribosomal RNA
Source: RNAcentral